Molecule: ribosomal RNA, 340 nt
Filed under: uncultured bacterium
Lineage: Bacteria
Description: bacterial SSU rRNA
Rfam family: Bacterial small subunit ribosomal RNA
Source: RNAcentral
AUUGAACGCUGGCGGCAGGCCUAACACAUGCAAGUCGAACGGUAACAGGAAGCAGCUUGCUGCUUCGCUGACGAGUGGCGGACGGGGUGAGUAAUGUCUGGGAAGCUGCCUGAUGGAGGGGAUAACUACUGGAAACGGUAGCUAAUACCGCAUAAUGUCGCAAGACCAAAAGAGGGGGGACCCUUCGGGCCUCUUGCCAUCGGAUGUGCCCAGAUGGGAUUAGCUUGUUGUGGGGUAACGGCUCACCAAGGCGACGAUCCCUAGCUGGUCUGAGAGGAUGACCAGCCACACUGGAACUGAGACACGGUCCAGACUCCUACGGGAGGCAGCAGUGGGAAUA